Phasianus colchicus (ring-necked pheasant) is the source of this 8830-nucleotide non-coding RNA. NCBI's taxonomy places the organism in Eukaryota, Metazoa, Chordata, Aves, Galliformes, Phasianidae. The record is from RefSeq and is a predicted model, not a curated record.
UAGCAAGACAAUUACUUUGAUGUGACUAUAUUCUGAAAAACAACAAAACCUCCCACUGUAAGAAACCCUUGUGCUAUCUUUUGACUGAUUAAAUACCAUGCUUAAGUUUAAUCCAUUUGAUAUUUUGAUACUUUAGAUAUUGCAUAAGGGGAUAUUUUUAUUUGAUGCUUUUUAAUUUUUAAAAUGAUUAUCAGCUGUUUUUUAUCACACUUGUUAAAUGAGAUGAUAAUUCCUCAAAGUUUUAAUGUUAAUGGACAUCUCAGUCCACAGAGAAUUUUGUAUUCCAAACUCUUUAGAUUCAAUUUCAAUUCUUAAUAUCCUGACACAGCUGCUUCCUCACCCUGGUGGCAUCUCUAUUCCAUGACAGAAUUGCAAGUACUCAGUAAUGCUGUUCCAUCUCAGCCUCAUCAAUAUCUAUCAGCUGUUUGGUUCUCUGGGUUUGCUGCUGAAAAUCUUGAUCCAAGAAGCACAUAGUGCUAAGUACUACAUAAAACAGAAGUGGAACUCAGUUUCUUCCUCUCCCAAGAAAGUGUUUUGAUAGUUGGCCAUGUUUGUGCUUGUAGUGCCUGUGGUUUAGUGGUUCUUUAAUUAUUGAAAAGGGGAGAGAGAGAGAGAGCACUCUUCCCUUUUAAAUAUCCUAUAGCAUGCCAUUUAAGACAUUUUUCCACUGAGAUGUGGGAGUUAAGGUUUGAAUUUCCAUAAACAGUGGAAGGAAUUGAACUGAGGCUUCUCAUAUCCUAAGAGAGUGCUCUAACAUCUAAGCCAUUUAAAUACCUUAUGAAUGCAUUGCAAAUGGUAUUGCCUUCCUUGCCCUUUGAAAGGUAAGUCUCAAGAGCCUAUCCAGAACCUAAAGGAACAGAACUGCUUUUUUUCAACAAAGACUACUUAAGCACUUCGUGUGUUGUAAGUCAAGAUAGAAUCUCUCACUAGGAAUUAUUUACCUACAUUAAGCUGCUCCCAGCUCAGAAUGCAGCCUGUUGUAAAUCUGAGUGAUUUAAAGUUAUUGGUUCUGGUUCCAUGGCCAAGCACCUUAACUUGCAUGUUACUACUUAUAACAUCUAGUUAAUGCUAUGUUUUUGAGGAUCUGAGCUGUGAGACACUCAAGAUCACAAAAGAAAGCUAUGGAAGAGCAAAAUACCGAAUUCAGAUGUCAAAAAUCUUUAACAAAAAUCAACCUGCCUCUAUCACAUAUUUCAUCAGAACCAAUAGAUAAGUCAUAAGCAUGCUAUUGGCCUAUGCUCCCACCUUUCCUUGAUUACUGCACUUUCUUGCAUUGCAGUUGUAUUAUUGUUUGAAAGUACCACCCUCUUUAAAUGCGUAAUUGCAGUGAUUGUGCAAUCAUCGUUAUCUCUAUUCAUUACUAUAGCAACUGGAAUAAAAACAUUCUUCAGCCCUUCCCAUAUAAAAAGGUCUUCACUUUCCUUCAAUUUUAUGCAUAUGCUGAGUGAAUGUGUAUGACACAAUGGAAAUUGCAUGCUUUGAAGGCUGCUCAAGUUAGUGAGGGCGGAAAGUUAAAUUUCCCUGAAGUACUUGUUUUAAAAAAAAGGGAAGAAAACCUUCUGAUCUGCUCAGAAGGACUCAAAUUAAGUAAGUGUACUAUUUCUCCAGCUUCCUUCGUGUACUCUUGGCAAAGCAUUUCACCAGCUAGGAAGAGGAGCAAAGCAAGUAGGCAGCAAAAUAAGUCCCAGUAUGAUACAGAUGCUCAAGCUGUAUAUUCUAACAUUAGAACUUGAGUCUUUGCCCUGCCUAGGCUUUAAUGAGGCCUUGCUUACACUGAUAUCUUUGUAAUUACAGCUCCCAAACUUUGUCUAAGUAUAAUAACUGACAUCAUUAGCAUAAAUAAUCCAAAUCAUGAACAAAACUUCUUCUUUCUUCUUCCUUUCUUUAACUAUAGCAUCUGGAAGUGGCAGGUAGUGCUUGUUUGUCUUUUUAAUUAACACAUUCCUUAACACAGAGGAAAAUGUGAAAACUUAACUGAAGGGAUCUAUGUUUUUCUGGUAACAUCAAAACAAAAGUAGCAUGAUUUCUACCACAAAAAAAAUUCAAGGAUCUGAUGAUAUUUGCGCCCUAGCUACAGUCUGACGUACACAAUUGUUCCAGUAUUUUCACAGGGCCUGUAGGAAUUCCAUUGUCUUUGAGAUGUGUCAAAUCUUGUUACAAUUUGCCAACAGGUUGAGAAGUUACUACUUGAACUCAUGUGCAUGUACCCAUACACAACCACUCUGAUUGCACAAGUUUCAUUUCCUUAGGAAACCAGGCUGAAAACAGAAGGCAAAAAUAGGGAACUCAAAACUGUAUUCCAGUACAAUAUACCACAUACAUUCUAGUAAGUGAAUAGAUUGAGUUCUUCAUUUCUCCUGUACAGGCGAAAAGCAGUACAAUCCACUGCCUAUUGGAUUUAAAUGCAGUUAAUGUGGAUUCCAUUGUUUGCCAUUAGUUGUGUAAUUCUAGUUAAAUUCUCUCCCAUUUCUCCUUUUGCCUGCUUAAACAAAAUUUGGUCAGGCAGGAGCAAGUGUUUUCUCCAUUCUUCAGAGUGCUUAGCAUGUUGCUGCCCACAAAAGAAUCUGAAGAUGACUAGAAACACAUAGGCUGCAUUUCUCUAAUUAAUAAUCAUACGAAAAGCCAGAACAGAAACAAUAUCUGAGGUUUUCAGUAACCAGUACAUCAAAGAAGAGAGGUGUAGGCAGCUAACUUUUUGAAAUCAGCAUAUAGAUCAAAGGAAAUUCAUUCUAAACUUGGAUUAUUUUUUUUUCCUGGAUCAUUUAAAGCAGAUAAAUAAUUAAGCUAAAGGAUGCAAAUAAAUAAAUAAAUAUGGAGGAUGAAUCCAUUUACUAGUUUUUUCUACUCUGAAGAAUAGAACUGGGUAGAAUAGGAUACUUAAGCAGACAUUUCUUUGGCUUCUUAGAAAAGCAUGGGAAUCAUAUGGGUUAGUAAUGGUCCUGCUUAUUAUUUCUCCUGUUUCUGAACUGAGAAUCAAUGCUACAUCAAGAAAUUCUGGCUAGUUUUGAUGUUACUGGUGAUGCAAGUGCUGAUAACUUGGCAGAGGUCUUGAAGCAGAGCUAAAAAGAGUUACAAAUGCCUGGCCUGCUCUGCACCUUACUGUAAACAGCCUGAGGGAUGGGUUCUGUGAUAAGAGGGUAAGCCUACACCACGCCCUAGAUUCAGUUACAUGAGAGAGGGUGACACAUUUUCAUCCACACUAACUCUUUGAUGCUGUUUACCUUUACUUUCCCUUCAGUUCAAACUAAAAUACUGAAUUUGUGCCUCGGGUUUAGCAGCUCUAAAAUAAGGGUCCUAAAUUGUUUAAAAAUCAUCCUUGACUUAAGUCUGAGACAGUUUCAUUGUCUAUAAAAAUUAUGCCCCGAAUUAAUGCAAAAAAUGAUACCCCAAAUUCUGUGCAAAUUUUGAGAAACAGUCAAUGAAAUCUGAUCUUAGUUCAUACUAGAGGUCUACCAUUCUCAGUUUGUAUUAAAUCAGUAACAAGAUUUAUACGGGAAAGCCACCUCCUUCCUUCAAUACUUUUAGAUCUUGUAUGAGAAGGCAGUCACUAGAUGCCCUCCUUUGCUUCACUCUUUAUUCCUAAGACUGUCCCUUGAGAAUCCCAGGCCAUAAGAGCCUGGGGAAAGGAAUACUUCCCCUUGGUCAAAUAGGAUCUGAUCAGAGAUAAUCGAGGCAAAUUCAGUGCAUGUAAAUCCACGGAGCUCACUGGGCUCCUAUGAGUGCUGAGAGAGCUGGCAGAAAUGAUUGCCAAGUAGUUCUCUAUCAUCUUUGAAAGGCUGUGGGAAUGGGAGAGAUGCACGAGAACUGGAGUAAAGGCAGUGUCUUCAAAAAGAGCAAGAAGGAGUAAAGGGGAAGCCACAGGCCAGUCAGCCUCACCUCUGUCCUUUGGAAGACAAUGGAGCAGCUUAUUCUGGAUAUAAUCUUCAAGCAAGUUGAAGAAUAGAAGUUUAUCAGGAGUGGGGAACAUGGAUUCACCAAGGAAAAAUUGUGCUUUGCCAGUCUGGUAACCUUCUGUGAUGUCAUAACUGGCUGGAUACAUGAGGGGACAGCAGUGGAUGUUGGCUAUCUUGACUUCAGCAAGGCUUUUGACACUGUCUCCCAUAACAUCCGUAUGGGUAAACUUAGGAGGUGUGGAAUUGGGUUGCAUUGGAACUGUUGAGUCAUGGUCUGAACCACUGAUUGACCCCUGAGGGGAGGACUGAGUCAGCUAUGGGAGCACAGGUGAAGUCAAUUCACAUUUGUGACCAGAAGGGAUGGAGCCUGGCCGCACCCCUCCUAGACUCCAUUUAAGUGCUGACCCCCAUGGGGGAAGGUUUACUUUUUGGAGGUACUUCCUUUUGGACUUUUCUGCUGUGAGCUGAGGAUAUGUAAGAGGCACAUGCCCUACCACCUGCACAGGAACAAACAACCUGAAAAGCACCUUGAGAUGCUGUGUCACAGAACAAAGACUCCUGGGUACAUCUGCUUUGGAUAUGGAAUGUGUGAACUUUUGUGGAAAAGAGUUCAAAUGUGAACAGAUAUUUGAAUAGGCUGUAGUCAUUAUGAAAUUAUCAAAUAUAAGCAAAUCCACACCCUCAUCUUGGUGAAUUCAACAAGGGAAGAUGGCUUAGAUAUCUACUGGUAUUGUCAACAGUUUGAGACUAUUGUUUCAUCUGCUUCAUCUUCUCUGUCUAGAGAAGAUAAGAAAUAAUUUAGUGCAUUUUCUCCUAACUUUACUACCAGGAAUGGUACAAUACACAGGAAUCUGGUAGCAAGUCGUAGCUUGGAAAAAUUCUGCUCUAAUAGUUGAUGCUUGCUAUUUUUAAAAAGGAAAGAGUUGAAAACUAUAAGGAUAUACAAAUAAAGUUGGUAAUAUUGUUGUUAAACUGUUGUCUUACUCUGGUUUUUUAUGCUCUGCUUUUAUUUUGACACAGCCUGUAUGAGCACUUAAAAAAAAAAAAGUGCUAUGAUACAUAAUAAAAGUGAGCUUCUGGGAAAUCUGUGCCUGUCAGGUAGUGAUUUUAUGAAACCCAAGAAAAAAAAAUAGCAUUAAUCUCAUCACCAGCUACCAGUUGCUACCAGUUUCUUCUUUAUUUCAAAUAGCUUCUAUUUAAUCAGAAUUCCUGAACAGUCAGACCCGAACUUUUCUCACACUAAGCUAUUUCAGGUUGCACAGGUACAUUUGAGAAGUGUUUUCCCUCAGAUGUUUGUUGAAGCCUUGGAUUUAAUCUAGAAUUUAUGAGUGAAUUUCAUGUUGAGACACAUCAUGAUUACCUGCCAUGUGGUUUCACAAGGGGGUCAUUUUGCCUUUCUUACUAUUCCUUUCAAAGAAAUUUUUAAAAAUCUGGUAACUUUAGUGGAUGAGCUAAUUAUAAUGAAGUGUUAUCUUCCUUUUUGCAUACAGCUCUCAUAGAUAUCACAUAAGACAUAACUGCCAACAGAGCUUUACUCAGUGUUGAAUGAAUGAUCAAAGAAUUGCCCUUCAAGUUAUUUUAAUUAUGGAAUUUGGAAAUGAUGACUUAAGGAUGAAGCAGUACUCCAAAUUUAUUGUCUAUUCAUAUAUUGCUUGUCAGCUUCCUUGAUAACUCAGCUAUGGUCUCAUACUGAGUAUGAGAAAUUCACAUGUGACAGUGAUUUCAAAUAAGUUAGCUAACUAACCUAACUCAACUGUAAAUACUAUAAGCUGUCAACAUUGCAACAGCUAAGAGUCUUUUCUCAGUUGUGAGUUUAUGAUUUAGAAAACACUUAUUUCUGGUUUGAAGAUGAAGUAAAAAUUGAAAAUGUAGAUAUUAAUCAUAAAUUCUACAUGUGCUUUUAAAGAUAUUGAAGCCUCUUAAAUCCAACUCUCAGUCCAGGACUUGUGUAUAGGAAUACCAUCUGUACUUUAAGUAGUAAGGGAUGAAAGCUUUUAGCUAGAAUGAGAAAAAGAUUCUCGAUUCCAUUAAAACUGCAGUUUCCUGUGAAGUGAAAGUUACAUUUCUUUAGCAGAUAAGACUCUACCUUUCUGUUUAUAUGGCAUCUAACAUCUGAUGAAUAAAACUAGAAAUCUUGUAAAGAAAUUCUAUAAAGGAGAAAUCUAAGUCACUGAACAAACUAGCAGGCAGAGAAAGGAGUAAAGAUCCAUGCUGCAUACAUCACUGAGUAAGGAACAUGAAAACACUAUUCUUAUUGAAUCACCUCCCUGGCAUGUGUUCACCUAAUGUAAAAAUUAUUCUACUAGAGAUGUAACAUUGGUCUCAGAUCUUUCUCUUCCAUGUUCUCCCUCUCCUUUCAAAGCAGUAAUUUAUUUUCUAUCUUUUAGGAAGUCAAUAAUGUGUCCUUUAUAUAUAUAUAUAAACAAAUAAAUUAUUCAUUCUUUAAAGAAGGAAGCAACAUCACAGCAAAGGAGGAGGAAGGAACUACAUUGCCUUUUUAUUAUGAGGUAGCAUGCCAUGUGUGGCUAAUGGGAGUCUACAGCCUUCCUCCAGAGUGUAUGUCUAAAUAUUUCCUUACCUUCUAUUAUCCAUGAUUCACUGGUUACUCUAAACUGAACCACCUGAGCAUAUAAGUAGUGCUUGUAAUUUAAAUAUCAACUAUUCUAUCACUCUUAUACUCCAUUCUACUCUCUGAGGAAAUUAUUCUAAUUGCUGUAUUUAUAUAUAUGUAUAUAUAGUUAUGGAAAUUGGAAUGCAGGUGUAUAUAUACACACAGGAAUGACCAGAAUUGCAAGCCUCCACAUUGCUCUUAGGUGAACACUGUAAACAAUUAGUGUGUCUCUUGCUGACUGCAUGAGAGUGCACAUGACAGAAUGUUGCUUUCUUCUAGAGUGUCAAAAAAGCAAGGCAAGAACAGAUGCCCUCUGUUUUGAACUACUUUCACUUUCACGGGGAAAAAACAUAAGAUACAUAUUUAUAACAGAAAAGGGGCCUUAUAGUUAGAGCCUAAGCUGUGCUGCAUUCAGCAUUUGAUUACUUAAUCAACGGGCAACCCCUACUAUAUAUCUUUCAUCAGUAGUGCAAGGGAGUGAUAACUUCAAAGAAGCAAUUAUCGGAGAUUAUUGUAGAUAAGUGCAGGGAGUCCUAGAUGUCAUCACCAGUGUUUCUGAGCUUUGUGGUGAUUGAUUAAAGAAGCAUGUCAUUCAGCACUGAUCUACACAGGAAUAAAUGUCCUCAGGUUCUGAAGUCUUAAAUAGAUCUUCCCUAUACAGCCAGGGUAUGUGUUGGCUUUAGAAGGUGAAGAAAGAAAAAGAACAAAAAGUUCUGUAAAGAGAUGUCAAAGGCCAUUGGAGAAAGAUUUUAAAAAGAGGGACAGUAGCACAUGGGAAAAUGGUCAGGAGCUGCCAAAAAUGAAAGAGUAAUAACCAGCUGUUUGUUAAAUUGAACCAACUGACUAUAUAUCUUCAAAGCAAUAUAAACUCAAAAUUUAUGAGGCCUACCUGUGAGGUGCUUUUACUUAAGGUAAAAGCUGCAAUUUAUAAAGGUUACCGAACACUUGUACUGUUUUAAAGGUUUGUUCUCUGAAUUCAGUUAGUGCUUUCAAUUGGAAAAAAAUACUUAUUGUUUGUGUUUAAUGUAUGUUUUUUUCACCUUAAAACAAACAUACAAGACUUCAGCAGGUCUACCAUUUUAGUGCAUUUGAAUAAAAACUGCAAAAUCCCAAGUGGCUUUGUAAAUAAGAGACCAUAUUAUUUAAAUGGAAGUAGCGGUUGAUAAAAGUAUGAUCGUGUUUAGGUAUAUUAGUAUAAUGUGGUUUUAUAUUUAAUAAUUGAUUAAUUGCUUUUUUCAUAUAUCUAUUCCUAGACAGUAUUCCCAUUAAAUUAUUCUUUAUCUAUCCUUUGAACUGUAUUUUAUAUUAGGAAUGGCAGCUCUGAGAAUUUAAUAUGAGGCAAGUUUAUAAGAACUGAAGACUUGACAAUGGCCUAAGAAGCAAAGUAUCAUUCUGAACCUAGACCUACAUCCUUGAUUUUGGAAAUGUUUUUUCCAGUAAAAAAAAAAAGCAAGAGCACCAGUUUAUAGUAUCACUCCGUAUUGCAGCACAGUAAGAAACGAUUUGGCGUGCCAGUUCCUCUUAAGUAAAACAGUCUGUGCAUAAUGUGAAGAAUAAACAACAGGGCUCAUUUAAAAAUGAUGUAAAGGGCCAUUAGGCACUUAAUUCCUGGAGGCUCUGUAGAAAAUUCAGUUACAAAGAAUAUCUAGUCUGGCCUAUUGUGUUCUGUUUGUGGCAUAGCAUCACCUGUUGGUGUUUGAUCUAGUUCAUAAUCUCAUAUACUAUGAACUUCAUGUGUUUAAAAAUAAGCUGAUGUAUAACUACAGUUAAUUAGUGUUAGUAAUUGAGGAGUACAGUAAUGUAUUGGACUCAAAGCGAGUCUGAUUGUAAAUCAGGGCAUUAAUCACUUAAAUUGAAUAGAUACAUUAUCAAUUAACUGCUGGAAAAUUUGAUUCUUAAUUGAUUUGUGAUGAUUUUAAAAUUAUUCCUAGAUAUUGCCAUGUGUUUCAUUUUAUAUUUUUUCCUGAUGCAUGUUUCAGAAUUGAGUCUGUCGAUAAAAAUCAACAUACAAUAUCAGAAUGUAAAAUUAAAAUGUAAAGAAGUAAAUUCCUAAUUUAUUUUUCUCAGUUGUGGUGUCUGUUUUGUAUUACUCUUAAGGCUGACAAAUCCAGAAAGAUAAUAUGCUGCUACGUCAAAGCCAAGAUGUAUGGAUUUCUCAGGAAAAUACAUGUGCAGAUUUGCAUCCCUUGAGUACACACAAAGUAAAAGAUUUGCGAAGUCUUUCCAGUGAUGCUGAAAUCUUUUCAGGGUGAUGAAGGCACUUAUAAUGUAUGCUGUUCACUGUUUGUAAAAUAAUAGAUGAACAAAGAAAAUACUCUAAAGAAUA